GACGAACGCUGGCGGCGAGCUUAACACAUGCAAGUCGAACGGAAAGGCCCUGCUUUUGUGGGGUGCUCGAGUGGCGAACGGGUGAGUAACACGUGAGUAACCUGCCCUUGACUUUGGGAUAACUUCAGGAAGCUGGGGCUAAUACCGGAUAGGAGCUCCUGCUGCAUGGUGGGGGUUGGAAAGUUUCGGCGGUUGGGGAUGGACUCGCGGCUUAUCAGCUUGUUGGUGGGGUAGUGGCUUACCAAGGCUUUGACGGGUAGCCGGCCUGAGAGGGUGACCGGCCACAUUGGGACUGAGAUACGGCCCAGACUCCUACGGGAGGCAGCAGUGGGGAAUAUUGCACAAUGGGCGGAAGCCUGAUGCAGCAACGCCGCGUGCGGGAUGACGGCCUUCGGGUUGUAAACCGCUUUCGCCUGUGACGAAGCGUGAGUGACGGUAAUGGGUAAAGAAGCACCGGCUAACUACGUG
RNAcentral lists this ribosomal RNA (468 nucleotides) under uncultured bacterium. RNAcentral describes it as "partial 16S ribosomal RNA". It matches the Rfam family "Bacterial small subunit ribosomal RNA", at positions 28 to 507 of the family's 1533-position model. The record is from RNAcentral.